ACCUGACUGGCUCAGUUGGUAGAGCAUGUGACUCUGGAUCUCGGGGCUGUGAGUUCAAACUCCACGUUGGGUG
RNAcentral lists this transfer RNA (73 nucleotides) under Ailuropoda melanoleuca (giant panda). RNAcentral's name for it is "tRNA-Gln (CTG) (tRNA-Gln-CTG-9-1)". It matches the Rfam family "tRNA". Rfam says of the family: Transfer RNA (tRNA) molecules are approximately 80 nucleotides in length. Their secondary structure includes four short double-helical elements and three loops (D, anti-codon, and T loops). The record is from RNAcentral. Lineage: Eukaryota; Metazoa; Chordata; Mammalia; Carnivora; Ursidae.